AGAGUUUGAUCAUGGCUCAGAAUCAACGCUGGCGGCGUGCCUAACACAUGCAAGUCGAACGCGAAAGGGGAGCAAUCCCUGAGUAGAGUGGCAAACGGGUGAGUAACACGUGGGUGACCUGCCUCAGAGUGGGGGAUAACGUCCCGAAAGGGACGCUAAUACCGCAUAACAUCCUGCCUUUGGAAAGGCGGAGAUCAAAGCCGGGGAUCGCAAGACCUGGCGCUUGGAGAGGGGCCCGCGUCUGAUUAGCUAGUUGGUAGGGUAAUGGCCUACCAAGGCAACGAUCAGUAUCCGGCCUGAGAGGGCGGACGGACACACUGGGACUGAGGCACGGCCCAGACUCCUACGGGAGGCAGCAGUGGGGAAUUGUUCGCAAUGGGCGCAAGCCUGACGACGCAACGCCGCGUGGAGGAUGAAGAUCUUCGGGUCGUAAACUCCUGUCGAGCGGGACGAACACCUAUCCAGCUAACAUCUGGACUGGCUGACGGUACCGCUAAAGGAAGCCCCGGCUAACUCCGUGCCAGCAGCCGCGGUAAUAC
RNAcentral lists this ribosomal RNA (539 nucleotides) under uncultured bacterium. RNAcentral describes it as "bacterial SSU rRNA". It matches the Rfam family "Bacterial small subunit ribosomal RNA", at positions 8 to 526 of the family's 1533-position model. The record is from RNAcentral.